AUUGAACGCUGGCGGCAUGCCUUACACAUGCAAGUCGAACGGUAACAGGUUAAGCUGACGAGUGGCGAACGGGUGAGUAAUGUAUCGGAACGUGCCCAGUCGUGGGGAUAACUGCUCGAAAGAGCAGCUAAUACCGCAUACGACCUGAGGGUGAAAGCGGGGGAUCGCAAGUCCUCGCGCGAUUGGAGCGGCCGAUAUCAGAUUAGGUAGUUGGUGGGGUAAAGGCCUACCAAGCCUACGAUCUGUAGCUGGUCUGAGAGGACGACCAGCCACACUGGGACUGAGACACGGCCCAGACUCCUACGGGAGGCAGCAGUGGGGAAUUUUGGACAAUGGACGCAAGUCUGAUCCAGCCAUGCCGCGUGCGGGAAGAAGGCC
This 378-nucleotide ribosomal RNA is filed under the name uncultured bacterium. RNAcentral describes it as "bacterial SSU rRNA". It matches the Rfam family "Bacterial small subunit ribosomal RNA", at positions 30 to 416 of the family's 1533-position model. The record is from RNAcentral.